This 454-nucleotide ribosomal RNA is filed under the name uncultured Aeromonas sp. Its description in RNAcentral is "bacterial SSU rRNA". It matches the Rfam family "Bacterial small subunit ribosomal RNA", at positions 69 to 515 of the family's 1533-position model. Lineage: Bacteria; Pseudomonadati; Pseudomonadota; Gammaproteobacteria; Aeromonadales; Aeromonadaceae. The record is from RNAcentral.
GGGAAAGUUGCUUGCUACUUUUGCCGGCGAGCGGCGGACGGGUGAGUAAUGCCUGGGAAAUUGCCCAGUCGAGGGGGAUAACAGUUGGAAACGACUGCUAAUACCGCAUACGCCCUACGGGGGAAAGCAGGGGACCUUCGGGCCUUGCGCGAUUGGAUAUGCCCAGGUGGGAUUAGCUAGUUGGUGAGGUAAUGGCUCACCAAGGCGACGAUCCCUAGCUGGUCUGAGAGGAUGAUCAGCCACACUGGAACUGAGACACGGUCCAGACUCCUACGGGAGGCAGCAGUGGGGAAUAUUGCACAAUGGGGGAAACCCUGAUGCAGCCAUGCCGCGUGUGUGAAGAAGGCCUUCGGGUUGUAAAGCACUUUCAGCGAGGAGGAAAGGUCAGUAGCUAAUAUCUGCUGGCUGUGACGUUACUCGCAGAAGAAGCACCGGCUAACUCCGUGCCAGCAGC